GACGAACGCUGGCGGCGUGCUUAACACAUGCAAGUCGAACGGGGCUUGCCCUUUGGGGUGGGUUUAGUGGCGAACGGGUGAGUAACACGUGGGUAAUCUGCCCUCAGCUCUGGGAUAACUCCGGGAAACCGGGGCUAAUACUGGAUAUGACUACUGGUGACAUCGCCUGGUGGUGGAAAGAUUUUCUGGCUGAGGAUGGGCCCGCGGCCUAUCAGCUUGUUGGUGGGGUAAUGGCCUACCAAGGCUCGACGGGUAGCCGGCCUGAGAGGGCGACCGGCCACCACUGGGACUGAGACACGGCCCAGACUCCUACGGGAGGCAGCAGUGGGGAAUAUUGCGCAAUGGGCGGAAGCCUGACGCAGCGACGCCGCGUGAGGGAUGACGGCCUU
This 389-nucleotide ribosomal RNA is filed under the name uncultured bacterium. Its description in RNAcentral is "bacterial SSU rRNA". It matches the Rfam family "Bacterial small subunit ribosomal RNA", at positions 28 to 418 of the family's 1533-position model. The record is from RNAcentral.